AUUAAUGAAUUUUAUGGCGGAAUUGUAGCUGGCCCCAACCGGGCAUGUGCACAUUCUGUUCAUUCCAUUCUCAUACACCUCUGUGCACUUUACAUAGGUUUGGUAUAGAAAAGGUCUUUAUUGACUUUGGAAAUACCGACCUAUGCUUUUACAAACGCUUCAGUUUUAGAAUGUCAUCCGCGUAUAACGCAAUAAAUACAACUUUCAGCAACGGAUCUCUUGGCUCUCGCAUCGAUGAAGAACGCAGCGAAAUGCGAUAAGUAAUGUGAAUUGCAGAAUUCAGUGAAUCAUCGAAUCUUUGAACGCAUCUUGCGCCCUUUGGUAUUCCGAAGGGCAUGCCUGUUUGAGUGUCAUGGUAUUCUCAAUACCCCAAAUCUUUGCGGAUAAGGGUGUGUUGGACUUGGAGGUUUUUGCAGGUAAUGAUUGUAUUACCAGCUCCUCUUAAAUACAUUAGCAGAGAUAAUACUGCUACUCUCCAGUGUGAUAAUUGUCUACACUGUUAGUAGUGCGGUAUAACAAAAUGUCUAUGCUUCUAAUCGUCUUCGGACAACUUUUGACAAUCUGACCUCAAAUCAGGUAGGACUACCCGCUGAACUUAAGCAUAUCAAUAAGCGGAGGAAAAGAAACUAACAAGGAUUCCC
This 641-nucleotide ribosomal RNA is filed under the name fungal endophyte. Its description in RNAcentral is "eukaryotic LSU rRNA". The stretch from base 200 to 353 matches the Rfam family "5.8S ribosomal RNA". The record is from RNAcentral. Lineage: Eukaryota; Fungi.